AUAUAUUGUUAAGAAGUUUGGAGGGAAAUCUGUUUAUGAGAUAGGUUGCAGUAAGCACACAAUCUCCCCAGAAUCUAAGGGGUAGUUGGGAAUGAAAAAGUAAGGCUCUUGAGGUUUCUAGCAGAUAUCUAUGUUUUCUUUCAACCACACCAUUUUGUUGUGGUGUGUGAUAACAGAAAGUUUGGUGCAUUAUUCCAGUUUUAGCAAAGAAAUUGCUGCCACAACCACUAGACCCAAGUUCAAGUGCAUUGUCUGAGAUUUGGUGUAUUAUUCCAUUUUCAGCAAAGAAAUUGCUGCCAUAACCACUAGAUCCAAGUUCAAAAGCAUUGUCACUUCUAACGGUUUGUACAACAGCCUGGAAUUAGGUUUUGAUCAGGGCAAUGAAAGCUUUGAUAAGGGGAAAGGCAUUGAUCUUGGACCCCAUAAGGUGAGUCCAAGUAGCUCGAGUAAAGUCAUCAACUAUUGUUAGGAAAUAUUUACAUCCAUUAUGAGUGAGAGUGGCAUAAGGACCCCAGGUAACCACAUGAAUGAGUUAAAAGGCAUGUGUUGUCUUAAUGGAACUGUCAUGAAAAGGCAACCUAGAUUGCCUGGCUAAUGGGCAAACAGUACAUAUGAAAGGUUGUUUAGUUGAAAAUUUGCAUGGUAUAUGAUGGAUGUCUUUGAUCCUAACAAAAGGUAUGUGCCCUAGUCUAUUAUGCCAUAACAUCUCCAUUUUAUUCAAUUCAGAAUGGUAUGUACAAUGAGAGGAAGAAACAGAAUCAAGAGUGGCAUAAGGACCCCAGGUAACCACAUGAAUGAGUUAAAAGGCAUGUGUUGUCUUAAUGGAACUGUCAUGAAAAGGCAACCUAGAUUGCCUGGCUAAUGGGCAAACAGUACAUAUGAAAGGUUGUUUAGUUGAAAAUUUGCAUGGUAUAUGAGGGAUGUCUUUCACCCUAACAAAAGGUAUGUGUCCUAGUCUAUUAUGCCAUAACAUCUCCAUAUUAUUUAAUUCAGAAUGGUAUGUACAAUGAAAGGAAGAAACAGAAUCAACAGCUAAUGGAGAA
Molecule: long non-coding RNA, 1043 nt
Filed under: Nicotiana benthamiana
Lineage: Eukaryota; Viridiplantae; Streptophyta; Magnoliopsida; Solanales; Solanaceae
Description: long non-coding RNA (NBEN_LNC009061)
Source: RNAcentral